Molecule: long non-coding RNA, 339 nt
Filed under: Homo sapiens (human)
Lineage: Eukaryota; Metazoa; Chordata; Mammalia; Primates; Hominidae
Description: novel transcript
Source: RNAcentral
GUGACCUCGAGGCAGCCUCAGCACGGCACUCUCUUGGGUCCUCUUCCAGGCUCACACUGGGCGACAGCGGAGAGGCUCUUGGACGGGGCAGAGCUCGCGCCGAGACCUGCAUGUCCGCGUCUUGUGACGGGUGUGUGGGAAGCCGCCCGCCUGUGCAUCUUGCUUCCGGGUAUUCGCUGGCUGAUUUACUGGUUUUAGAGAUGGGGAUGGGCACCCAGUGCUGGACUGAAGACCAGAGAAGGUGGAGCUCCCUGUGGCCUUGGUCUCACCUCUCUUCAGACCCAAGCCUGCCCAAUGUGCAGGUGACCAGGCUGACACUCCUGUCGGAACAGGCUCCGG